Molecule: non-coding RNA, 534 nt
Organism: Hydra vulgaris (swiftwater hydra)
Lineage: Eukaryota; Metazoa; Cnidaria; Hydrozoa; Anthoathecata; Hydridae
Source: RefSeq, a predicted model, not a curated record
UUAUGGAACUUUAAGUUUCAUGCCUAACGGCAAUCAUCAGCCAUAUAUUACAAAAUUUAAAAUAGACGUUAAAAUUACAAUUAAAAUUACGGUGGCGUGAGUUCUAAUGACUCCAUGGAAACAAAACUUUAAGUUUUAAGAGUAUCACGUGGUGUAAAAGUGACGUAAACCAAUCAGGAUCAAUCUGCGGUAUCAUAGGAGGAAAUAAGAAAUUUAUUUUUGUGCCUACACUUCGAGAUUAUUUCACUCCUUGUGUUAAGUAGGUUUUUACCUUUAUACAUUAGAAUUUGAAACUUCUCGUUCAACACGGUCGUUUGUAAGAGGAAAGUUAUUAUACGCAUGCGCAGUGGAAUUAUAUUUCUUGAAGGUUUUUUAAAAUGGCUACGGUAACAGGAUUAUACAAACUAAUCAUUGACAACGAUAUUUCAACCAUAUUCGCGUUUCAACAAAGAAACUUACCUGUUGUAAAGAAGGGAAAAGUAAACUAAAGCAGAAAGACUUUUUCUUGGAACUCGAUAUAAAUAUUUUUUGUGU